AUUGAACGCUGGCGGCAUGCCUUACACAUGCAAGUCGAACGGCAGCACGGGAGCAAUCCUGGUGGCGAGUGGCGAACGGGUGAGUGAUACAUCGGAACGUGCGAAAUUGUGGGUGAUAAGGCAGCGACAGAUGUGAUAAUACCGCAAACGCUCUACGGAUGAAAGCAGGGGACCGCAGGGCCUUCCGCGCAUGCAGCGGCGGAUGACAGAUUAGAUAGUUGGUGGGGUAAAGGCUCACCAAGGCAACGAUCUGUAGCUGGUCUGAGAGGAUGACCAGCCACACUGGUACUGAGACACGGCCCAGACUCCUACGGGAGGCAGCAGUGGGGAAUUUUGGACAAUGGGCGCAAGCCUGAUCCAGCCAUGCCGCGUGCAUGAUGAAGGCCUUCGGGUUGUAAACUGCUUUUGUUCGGAACGAAACGGCGUUUUCUAAUAAAGAGCUCUAAUGACGGUACCGAAAGAAUAAGCACCGGCUAACUACGUG
RNAcentral lists this ribosomal RNA (484 nucleotides) under uncultured bacterium. RNAcentral describes it as "partial 16S ribosomal RNA". It matches the Rfam family "Bacterial small subunit ribosomal RNA", at positions 30 to 507 of the family's 1533-position model. The record is from RNAcentral.